Molecule: unclassified non-coding RNA, 5690 nt
Filed under: Neodiprion lecontei (redheaded pine sawfly)
Lineage: Eukaryota; Metazoa; Arthropoda; Insecta; Hymenoptera; Diprionidae
Description: uncharacterized LOC107224925, transcript variant X1
Source: RNAcentral
GGCGUAGACGGCAUCCGUCGCAUCGAAGAAGCUCCUUGCGCGUAUGUCGAGAAAAACUAUCAAUAACUUGCGGUUGCAACCCUCGAUUGGUUGUCGGUAUGUAAAAUGUGACUGGCGGGGUGAGACGGAAUGCGUUUAGAGACAGUGGCGAUGGUGCGUUUCGCGGUUGAGCAUUGAGUCACUUUUGCGGUUAUGACCAUGGAGGUGGUAGAAAAAUCAAAACGGGAGAAUGACAGCAGCCCAGUUUCAACGGCCGCUUCGAUAACCUGGAACGAGGAAGAGGAGGAGAAAUCGGCUGGCGUGAGUAAUUCGGAAAAAUCGGAAACCCCGAACACCGACUCACCGAGGGAUGAUAACGCCCAGGUAUUCGCCGAGGCUAACGACCCCGCGAUCUGCAGACCCUCCCCGUCGCGCUCGGAUACCCCCGAGGAGGAUGUCGAGGACGAGAAAGGUGUACCCCUAUCCGGACCGGAGGACAGGGCUGUGGCAGACAAUGCCGAGGAUUCGACAACCCCCCGCAAAGAUGACGAGAGUCCGGCGAGCGAAGAGCCGUCGGGAAACGUUGAAAAAUUGACUGCAAAAAACGAGACGGGAGAUUCGCGGGAGGUUAUCAGCGGGCCUGUUACACCCCAGCAACCCCUGACAUUUACGAUAAACUUCGGGGACGACAAGGAGGUCGACACCGCGCGAUAUCGAAACCUCUUCGAAAGAUACAACGCCAGGCAUAAACGGAAUUCGUCAACCUCAAAGGUUGAGGUGAAGAGUAAAAAAGCGCCCGAGGCACCGGUCUUGACGAAACAAAAGACUCCAAGUGCGCACUCCGAAGGCUACUUCAGUAGCGAUCCGGAGGACGACACUAGGCGCAAAGCCGACCAACUGUCUCGGAAACUCAAGCAAUUGGGCCUAAAAUCCGUUUCGAAAGUCCCUGCGGUUCCCGAGAAAUACGACGCGGGGAUCAUGUCUCGAUCGUACUCGGAGCAGUCGACCCGGGAGUCGGAGAUUUUGAUCGCCCACGAAAAAGUCCGCUCGACUAGAGAUAAUCGCCGGGCAAAUCGUGCCGAUAUGUCUCUGGACCUUCAUCACCCUGCAAACAACAUCUACGACGGUCAGAAGAGAAGAGUAACGGCGCACAACUCGAGCCUCCAUCAGAACGGCAAGAAUCGUGACCGGGAACCUGAGUUUGUGAAGACCGAUAUGGUUCGACCAUCGAUGCGCGAUACAGAGAUGAGAUACGAGAGGAAUUUCACCUCCGUGAACAAUUCUACGGGCCUCCGUCACCGCGAGGAACGAGACAAUGGCUUUCAACGGUUUGCGGAUCUCGAUGAAAAAUUAUCAAGCGAGAGCUCCGGGUCGGAUCGGUUUUUUAAUUAUGAAAACGCUAAUAUGGAUGAGCGUGAAAUUCGCGGAUGCGGACGGCGAUCUCAUAUGGAUAAUGUUAAUGGUCAGACAAAUUUGGAUGCGCUUGAGGUAAGCAAUUUUGACGAGGGUUCCGACGGUGCCGUUAGCGAGGCUGGAACCUACACCAUACACAAAGAUUAUACGGAUGAGGAAAAGGCCAGGAUGGAUAUCGACAGAGUAUUCGGUGUCGGUGUUCUCACGGAAGAAGAAUCCUCUGAGGCGUACGUCCACAGCUUCAAGAUGAGUAUUUCUAGAGACAACAAUUGGAUAUCCGAGUGGGCGACACAGGUCGCAGAACACAACUUGUUACCGUCUGCAAUCGGCGGGAUGGAUGUGAUCUCAAAAGGACUUGUCUCACCACAAAGUCCACAAAGUCCUUCCAAAAUACCCUCGCCGAUUCAUUCUCGGUCCCGAAGGCUGUCCAGGGGUCGUCAAGACCAAAGUGACAGCAGUUUGGAAACGGAAUCGUAUCUUCGUGCAAAACCUACAGCAGCUGCAUCGCCGUCGCCCCACAACGAUCGGAUUAUUGUUGAUUCAGGGGGCGAGUCGGAUGAUGAUACUAGCCGCAGCCACAACACACCUCCGCAAAGUUUGCAGCGGAUAGGUUCGGCUCGUCGUGCAAGUCUAUCCGACAUGAUGUUUGCACGAAACAGUAUUUCCGAGGGGCGACGUAGCGCGAGAGCCUACACUGGAUCUGAGACAAGGCUAAGAAAGGACCGAAUUGUCACUUUACAAGAACCUCUGCGAAGUCCGACACACGUCUUGGCCCGCCUGCAGCUAGGAAGACGUAAUAGCUCGCUUGACAGGAAGGAGUACGCCUCUGACACCCCAGAAUCCAACUGCACUUCUGGUAGAAGCAGCUUGAAAAGCUAUCUGGAUGGCACCAUAGUUCAUCCCGAUAGUCCAGUUCUAGCACGGGUCAGAACACCUACUGGAAAACUUACCACCAACAGCCCUAUUAUGUCACGUAAAGAAAUUACACCAAUGAGAACCAGUGAGCUUGCCAAAGCGCCACCUCAGGCAAAAAAUAUUGGUUAUUUUACCUGCACGGAAAACAGUCCCUAUAUGCUGCGAAAGUCUCAGAGCACAACAAGUUACGGUCAUCGGGAGGACUUUGGUUACCGAGAUCGAAGUAGAGAAUCUUGUUUAACGUCUGUUCAAAGCUUGCAUCAGAAUAGUCCCGUACCACGACGCAGCAACGAUGUACAAAGAUCUGCAAGCACCGUAUCAGUCAGAAAUCCGCAAGUUACAAAUCUGCUCACUAGGCGCGGCAGCUUCAACAACAACAACAAUAACAAUACAGUCAAUGAUAGAACGGCAAUGGCAGCUAUUACGGGGAAAUUUGCCAUCGCAUCAGACAGCAGUAGUGAAGCUGGGGACAAACCAGUUCUGAAAUCACCUGUCCCGCCUCUUUCAUCAGGCAUAAAACUGAACAGAGCAUUUAGUAUACGGAGAGCUAGACUAAACUGCGAGCAUGAAACAACGCCGAAUACUACACCAGAGGAACGACGAAGGAAAGCACAGGUUGGCGAGAUACGGGGAACCCAGGCUUCGACACAAAGUCGACAGACACCAAACCAUCAUCGUGGGAGGUCUGCUGGAAAUACAGUCUUUAACAGCAAAGAUACAUUCAAAAGACCUGAACCACCAAAACCUAGAGCACCGUCGAUGUCUCGUACCGACAGUGGUAGGAUCAGUACUAAGGCGCCGAAAAAUGUUAAUCAUGUGCAGCAUUUGCGAUCGAAUCAAAAACUGACAAAAGAUGCUCACAAAAAGCCUGGUAGAAGCAAUUCGACUUUGACUUCGAAAGAAGUAGAAUUUCAAAAUUGGAAGAGACGCAAAAGUUAUGAUCCAAUGAAAGCCGCAGCUGAGGGAAAGAAGAAAAUGGACUCCUCAAAAAAGCAGCCCAGUAUUGAGGAUGGCUCUCACGGAUGCGAAAGCUCUGUUCUUAGAUCAGCAAGUUUUCACGGCACAGGGGGAACUCUUUCACUCGCUGCCGAAUGGUCAGAAAAUGAUAACGAAUUCACAGAUUCCAAUGAAUACAUUCGACCUCCUCCCCCUUCAAGCCCUCAGUUGGGAAGUGACAGCGAUUUUGAAACAUCGUCAUAUCUCCGCACAACUGAAAAUGUUGUGUCUGCAAUGUCAGCACGUAUGAUUGUGCGUCAUCCACCUCUGGUUGAUUCUGGAGGAGAAAGUGACGAAGACACGAGUCGUAGUCUCCAUAGGCCGACGCACAGAGGAUCGCUGCACCUUUCCCGCGGCAGUGAUACCGAAAGUAGUGACGAGCCACAUCCUCCGAUCAUUCAAUCGCCUGUCGCAAACUUGAACCACUCCAAGAUCGUCCCUAGCAUACGUAAAACUCGGACUGGAAGUCGAGAUAAAAAAACACCAAUGUCUCUAACAAAGCCAAAAUCUUCACCACGGGAUGCUAGAGGAAACGUUGACACAACAAAGGUUGUUGCAAGGACAGAUUCGGGUCGAUUCAGCACACGGGCACCGAAAAAUAUCAAUGUGGUCACCCAGUCAAAGGGAAAAGAUAGUAAAAAGUCUGCUGUCCCAAGUUCGAAAGAGGUAGAAAUGCAGAACUGGAAGCGCCGAAAGAGCUAUGAUCCGAUGAAAGCGGCAAUGGAAGGUCGGCGAAAAGUUAAUCAAACAAAGAGAAGUCCGAACGUGAAUUCAUCGCCAAGCCACGUACUGAGGUCGCAAAGUUUCCAUGGCUCAGUGGGACUUGGUGUAAGUGACUGGAGUGACGAAGAAUUAACAGUUUCGGCAGAUGAGGCAUCUCUGUACUGAAUGAGUCUGAAAAUAACUGUACAUCAGUGACAACAAUUACAAUUACGAGACUCUUAUUCCCGUUAGAAACAAAUAACAAAGAUACGUGAUAUAACGGAAAAGAAUCUGCGACGUCCGUCCACCCGCCCGAAGACAAACGCAUUCGAUUGAAUUGAAAAUUUUUUAUGUUUCAAUAUUUUUUCUGCGUAUUUUAAAUUUUACGUGUGAUUUAUUCAAAAAAAAAUGUUAAACUUUUCGAGAAUAUGUAGUACAUGUUCUUGUUAUGUCGUCAGAAAAUUUAAGACGAGAUCUAACUAUCAAAGAAUUAGUCUGGCGCACGUAUCAGAUGAUGUGAAUUGAGAGGAUAAUCCACUACUAAAACGUAAAUAUUAUAUUCUGAUUAAUCAAAACCAUGUCAGUUGAACGACGGCGCGGUGAGACCGUCAGGUUUACAUUCUACUUAACAGUAGUGAAUCUGUCUAUUAAAAACUACAUAUGUGUAGGUAUUAUGUAUAUACUAGAAUAUGGUCUACUGAUCAUGGGACUUGGUUUAUCUGAAAUGAUAUUUGUAUGUGUAUAACGGUCAGUGAAUGCUUUCAUUUGUAAAGUUGCAAAUAUUAUACAUCAUAUUAUAUUAUGUAUACAUCUCUGAAUAUAUAUAUAUAUAUAUAUAUAUGUUAAAUAUAAUAGUAUCAUAGUUCAGUAUAUACUUGUACAAAAACGGCGGAUUAUUAUAAGCAUCAUAAUUCAUACGUACAUAGAGAAUAUUUGUAGAGCAAUUUUUCGGUACGGCUAACAUGUGGUAGAAUAUAAGCACUUAUUUAUGUUACAGUAUGCAUAUAAUAGGUAUAUUAUACAAUGUAUUUACAUGGAAAAAAAUGAUUGUUAGUCCAAUUGAAUAUUUCUUUGCGGGUGGCGAAAUUGUACAUUUUGUUGCUUUUAAUAAUUUUUUUUUUUUUCAUUCAUUUUGAAAGUACAAAAGGCUGGGCGAGUUAAAAAUUUGUUUUUCGUCAUUCGCAAAAAAAAACUUUUCAUUGGAUCAAAUAACUCUUUCUCUCAAUAUAACUAUGUCGUCAGAUUACUCGGCGCUAAGACAACGAAUGUCUCUCUAAUUCUUCCUAAUCACCGGGCUUCCUCCCUUCAGUACAGAGAACUAGAGGGUCACCUUUAUUGUUACGUCCAACACCACAUUGAUGAUUCGUGCUUUAUUUUUUUAAACGUUACCUGAAACAAAAACUUAUCUAUGCAUAUAUGAAUGUAUGUACAAUAUCGACUCUUGUAUAUUGACCAUAAGUUAAAAACUUUCAACUCUUUUUCUCUCUAUAAAACAAUUACUUCGUAGUCCGGAUCUUCGUUUUUGUUAAGAUAUACUUGCCCGUAUACUGUCCAUGCAUUGUAGAAUAUGCUUGCGAUUUUGUAACAAUCAAAUAUUUUGAUCGCUAAUUUAUUAUUAAAAAAAAAAACACAAAACUACAUUUUUCAAUCCCAAGUGAAAAUGUCAGUGAUUGUAAGGCUAAUAA